Triticum aestivum (bread wheat) is the source of this 700-nucleotide long non-coding RNA. RefSeq lists it as uncharacterized. The record is from RefSeq and is a predicted model, not a curated record. The transcript has 2 exons. Lineage: Eukaryota; Viridiplantae; Streptophyta; Magnoliopsida; Poales; Poaceae.
UGACCCUGAUGGUUUGAAUUUUGAACUUCGUUGCUCUGGAGGGAAACCGAAAACUUUCGCUCUCUAUAUAUACAGGUGGCGCGGAGCAGUGGAAAUCCAUCGAAACCAGUCGAAGAUGGCGCCCAACAGCACGGUUUCCCCAGCUUCAGUGCUGACCGAGGCGUCCAUCUCCACGCUGGCACUAGGCGGUGUGCAGGUUAGUAGUUGUAGUUAGGAACUAACCAUGGUACGCAACUGAUCUUGUGCAAUCCACUUAAAAAAAUGUCUUCCAUGUACAUGUGUUUAGUGAUGAUGUAGGUUUGGAUGGUCUCGUUUUCCCUGAUCCAUCGUCCGUUGUUGACAGCCUUGCUGACGAGGUCUCGGAUCUUUACCUAGUUUUGAUUUGUUUUUCAUCAGAUCGCCUUGUUUGACUAAAAAUUAACAUGAAUAAUCGUUGCGUAGGCUAGUGUAAUGGCACAAGGUCCGAUGAUCGAUACGGAGAUUGCCUUGGGUGCACCGGCAGUGGCUAAUGUUGAUCAUGCCGUGGACGCCCCUGAUUGGUGGUUGGAGGAAGAGACAGCAGAUUUUGACCCUUGCGUUGUACCUGCGGUUGCGGUUGAUGCAUGCGAGCUGUUGGGUGGGGACGAAAUGUCGGUGACAGGUGCUGGUGAAGCUGGGAGCGAAGAAGACGAUGCGGAGAGCCGCCCAUGCAAGCGUGCUA